This 67-nucleotide transfer RNA is filed under the name Ictidomys tridecemlineatus (thirteen-lined ground squirrel). RNAcentral's name for it is "Spermophilus tridecemlineatus (thirteen-lined ground squirrel) tRNA". It matches the Rfam family "tRNA". Rfam says of the family: Transfer RNA (tRNA) molecules are approximately 80 nucleotides in length. Their secondary structure includes four short double-helical elements and three loops (D, anti-codon, and T loops). The record is from Rfam by way of RNAcentral. Lineage: Eukaryota; Metazoa; Chordata; Mammalia; Rodentia; Sciuridae.
GGUAGUAGCUCAGCAGUAGAGCGCUUGCCUUGCACGUAUGAGGCACUGGGUUUGAUUCUCAGCACCA